UACAGAGGUGGCAAGCGUUGUUCGGAAUUACUGGGCGUAAAGGGCGCGUAGGCGGCUUGGUCAGUCCCGUGUGAAAUCCCUCGGCUCAACCGAGGAAUUGCGCUCAAAACUACCUGACUAGAGGAAGAUAGAGGUGAGCAGAACUGAUGGUGGAGCGGUGAAAUGCGUUGAUAUCAUCAGGAAUACCGGAGGCGAAGGCGGCUCACUGGGUCUUUUCUGACGCUGAGGAACGAAAGCUAGGGGAGCAAACGGG
This 253-nucleotide ribosomal RNA is filed under the name uncultured bacterium. Its description in RNAcentral is "partial 16S ribosomal RNA". It matches the Rfam family "Bacterial small subunit ribosomal RNA", at positions 524 to 776 of the family's 1533-position model. The record is from RNAcentral.